AUACUAGAACAAAAGUUAUUACCAAAGAAUUUUCGUCUACAAGUUUUAAAACAGAAAGUUUGUGCAACCCGUACAAGAGGAAAACAAGAUCGUAAUGAAGAAUAUUAUCAUGAUGAUGGAAAAACCAAUAAUAAAAUAUGUAUAAAAAAUAGGCAAAAAAGAAAANUAACUGUACAUAGUACACAAAAAGAUAUCAGUGAGAGAACAACUAAAGAUGAAGAAAAAGAAAACAAUAAUAUGUACAAUAAUCUACAAGAACAAUUAUGUGAUCAUCCGAAAUUUGUGAUUGCUGCGUUUAAUCGAGCAUUUUUUCAAUCUAUGCCACGUGAUAAAUAUUCUAACAAGGAAGUAAUAUGUAAAAAGAAACUUGAACCUGACAAUAAAAUGAGUAUAGAAAAUCCGGAAGUUUGCAGGUAAAUAUGUUUAAAAAUAAUUUCAUUUUUUAUGAUAAUCAAGAAAAGUAUAUCAACGUUGCUAUUACACGUCACAUAAUA
Molecule: long non-coding RNA, 494 nt
Organism: Pseudomyrmex gracilis
Lineage: Eukaryota; Metazoa; Arthropoda; Insecta; Hymenoptera; Formicidae
Exons: 3
Source: RefSeq, a predicted model, not a curated record